This 484-nucleotide ribosomal RNA is filed under the name uncultured bacterium. RNAcentral's name for it is "partial 16S ribosomal RNA". It matches the Rfam family "Bacterial small subunit ribosomal RNA", at positions 30 to 507 of the family's 1533-position model. The record is from RNAcentral.
AUUGAACGCUGGCGGCAGGCCUAACACAUGCAAGUCGAGCGGAUGAAGGGAGCUUGCUCCUGGAUUCAGCGGCGGACGGGUGAGUAAUGCCUAGGAAUCUGCCUGGUAGUGGGGGAUAACGUCCGGAAACGGGCGCUAAUACCGCAUACGUCCUGAGGGAGAAAGUGGGGGAUCUUCGGACCUCACGCUAUCAGAUGAGCCUAGGUCGGAUUAGCUAGUUGGUGGGGUAAAGGCCUACCAAGGCUACGAUCCGUAACUGGUCUGAGAGGAUGAUCAGUCACACUGGAACUGAGACACGGUACAGACUCCUACGGGAGGCAGCAGUGGGGAAUAUUGGACAAUGGGCGAAAGCCUGAUCCAGCCAUGCCGCGUGUGUGAAGAAGGUCUUCGGAUUGUAAAGCACUUUAAGUUGGGAGGAAGGGCAGUAAGUUAAUCCCUUGCUGUUUUGACGUUACCAACAGAAUAAGCACCGGCUAACUUCGUG